Molecule: ribosomal RNA, 1403 nt
Filed under: Acinetobacter gandensis
Lineage: Bacteria; Pseudomonadati; Pseudomonadota; Gammaproteobacteria; Moraxellales; Moraxellaceae
Description: bacterial SSU rRNA
Rfam family: Bacterial small subunit ribosomal RNA
Source: RNAcentral
AGUCGAGCGGAUGAGGGAGCUUGCUCCUGGAUUCAGCGGCGGACGGGUGAGUAAUGCUUAGGAAUCUGCCUAUUAGUGGGGGACAACAGUUGGAAACGACUGCUAAUACCGCAUACGCCCUACGGGGGAAAGGAGGGGAUCUUCGGACCUUUCGCUAAUAGAUGAGCCUAAGUCAGAUUAGCUAGUUGGUGGGGUAAAGGCCUACCAAGGCGACGAUCUGUAGCGGGUCUGAGAGGAUGAUCCGCCACACUGGGACUGAGACACGGCCCAGACUCCUACGGGAGGCAGCAGUGGGGAAUAUUGGACAAUGGGGGCAACCCUGAUCCAGCCAUGCCGCGUGUGUGAAGAAGGCCUUUUGGUUGUAAAGCACUUUAAGCGAGGAGGAGGCUCUUCUAGUUAAUACCUAGGAUGAGUGGACGUUACUCGCAGAAUAAGCACCGGCUAACUCUGUGCCAGCAGCCGCGGUAAUACAGAGGGUGCGAGCGUUAAUCGGAUUUACUGGGCGUAAAGCGUACGUAGGCGGCUUUUUAAGUCGGAUGUGAAAUCCCUGAGCUUAACUUAGGAAUUGCAUUCGAUACUGGGAAGCUAGAGUAUGGGAGAGGAUGGUAGAAUUCCAGGUGUAGCGGUGAAAUGCGUAGAGAUCUGGAGGAAUACCGAUGGCGAAGGCAGCCAUCUGGCCUAAUACUGACGCUGAGGUACGAAAGCAUGGGGAGCAAACAGGAUUAGAUACCCUGGUAGUCCAUGCCGUAAACGAUGUCUACUAGCCGUUGGGGCCUUUGAGGCUUUAGUGGCGCAGCUAACGCGAUAAGUAGACCGCCUGGGGAGUACGGUCGCAAGACUAAAACUCAAAUGAAUUGACGGGGGCCCGCACAAGCGGUGGAGCAUGUGGUUUAAUUCGAUGCAACGCGAAGAACCUUACCUGGUCUUGACAUAGUAAGAACUUUCCAGAGAUGGAUUGGUGCCUUCGGGAACUUACAUACAGGUGCUGCAUGGCUGUCGUCAGCUCGUGUCGUGAGAUGUUGGGUUAAGUCCCGCAACGAGCGCAACCCUUUUCCUUAUUUGCCAGCGGGUUAAGCCGGGAACUUUAAGGAUACUGCCAGUGACAAACUGGAGGAAGGCGGGGACGACGUCAAGUCAUCAUGGCCCUUACGACCAGGGCUACACACGUGCUACAAUGGUCGGUACAAAGGGUUGCUACUCCGCGAGGAGAUGCUAAUCUCAAAAAGCCGAUCGUAGUCCGGAUCGCAGUCUGCAACUCGACUGCGUGAAGUCGGAAUCGCUAGUAAUCGCGGAUCAGAAUGCCGCGGUGAAUACGUUCCCGGGCCUUGUACACACCGCCCGUCACACCAUGGGAGUUUGUGCACCAGAAGUAGGUAGUCUAACCGUAAGGAGACGCUACCACG